RNAcentral lists this ribosomal RNA (567 nucleotides) under uncultured bacterium. RNAcentral describes it as "bacterial SSU rRNA". It matches the Rfam family "Bacterial small subunit ribosomal RNA", at positions 1 to 489 of the family's 1533-position model. The record is from RNAcentral.
GCGGUUCCUGGGAUUCGAUUGAGUUUGAUUCUGGCUCAGGAUGAACGCUGGCGGCGUGCUUAACACAUGCAAGUCGAACGGAGAUGUUGCAGCAGAAGCGAAUAGCUUGCUAUGAGUGGAAACAGUGGCAUCUUAGUGGCGGACGGGUGAGUAACGCGUGGGCAACCUGCCCUGCACUGGGGGAUAACACUUAGAAAUAGGUGCUAAUACCGCAUAAUAAAAUAUAUUGCAUGAUAUAUUUUUGAAAGCUGCGGCGGUGCAAGAUGGGCCCGCGUCUGAUUAACCAGUUGGCGGGGUAAUGGCCCACCAAAGCGACGAUGAAUACCCCGCCUGACCAGGUGGACGGUCUCUUUAGUAUUGAUAUAGGGUCUUAACUCCAUACGGGAAGCUAAUAGGCUGAAAACCGAACCCGGAGAGUGAUCCAAGCUCGAGACACGUAAGCCAGGCUGCUAAGACAUUACAGAUUAUAUAUAGUAAACAAAAGAUAAUAAAAAAACCUACGCCAUGUAAUCACGCACUGAUACGACCUAGAUAGACCCAUCUAUCAGUCCUACAUCCCUGUAUCUA